RNAcentral lists this ribosomal RNA (407 nucleotides) under uncultured bacterium. RNAcentral describes it as "bacterial SSU rRNA". It matches the Rfam family "Bacterial small subunit ribosomal RNA", at positions 28 to 424 of the family's 1533-position model. The record is from RNAcentral.
GAUGAACGCUAGCGACAGGCUUUAACACAUGCAAGUCGAGGGGCAGCGGGGGUAGGCAAUACCGCCGGCGACCGGCGCACGGGUGAGUAAACGCGUAUGCAACUUACCUAUCAGAGGGGGAGUAACCCGGCGAAAGUCGGACUAAUACCGCAUGAAGCAGGGGCCCCGCAUGGGGAUAUUUGCUAAAGAUUCAUCGCUGAUAGAUAGGCAUGCGUUCCAUUAGGCAGUUGGCGGGGUAACGGCCCACCAAACCGACGAUGGAUAGGGGUUCUGAGAGGAAGGUCCCCCACAUUGGUACUGAGACACGGACCAAACUCCUACGGGAGGCAGCAGUGAGGAAUAUUGGUCAAUGGGGCGUAAGCCUGAACCAGCCAAAGUCGCGUGAGGGAUGAAGGUUCUAUGGAAUC